UACGAAGGGGGCUAGCGUUGCUCGGAAUUACUGGGCGUAAAGGGCGCGUAGGCGGACAGUUAAGUCAGUGGUGAAAGCCCAGGGCUCAACCCUGGAAUUGCCUUUGAUACUGAUUGUCUUGAGUAUGGGAGAGGUAUGCGGAACUCCGAGUGUAGAGGUGAAAUUCGUAGAUAUUCGGAAGAACACCAGUGGCGAAGGCGGCAUACUGGCCCAUUACUGACGCUGAGGCUCGAAAGCGUGGGGAGCAAACAGG
RNAcentral lists this ribosomal RNA (253 nucleotides) under uncultured bacterium. Its description in RNAcentral is "partial 16S ribosomal RNA". It matches the Rfam family "Bacterial small subunit ribosomal RNA", at positions 524 to 776 of the family's 1533-position model. The record is from RNAcentral.